GAGGCGAAGCGGAGAUCGGGCGCGCGCGCCCUUCCCGCCGCUCGGGCAGUUCCCUGAGGCGAGAGGCACCGCCCGGCGCUGGAACCGCACCCGGGGGCCCGUCCGCCCCGGAGCCGGGCAGAGCCCCUGCGGAGGCCUGGACUGGCGUUCCCUUGUCGGGGCACCCGAGCGGGCCUGCCAGAGCGGGGGAGGGCCUGUAGCGCCGGGCCGUGGAGGGGCUGGAGGUUUGACAGGUCACCGGGCCCAGGCGGAGGAGCCGGAAUUUCCAUGGAAACCGCUGAAAGAAGGUGAAGCGAGCCACGUGUUAAGCAAUAAAUGCUGCUCUCUGCAAUGGGUUCGUUUUGAGUGACGCUGGAUCCGGUAUCUGCUGCGUUUUAAAUUGAAAACGUGGAGGAAGGGCUGUAUUUUCAGUAGUGAGUAAAGAGCAUCCAGCACAGCCGGCCUGGGCCGUCUUCUUCACAGGGACAUCGUGGUGACAGAUCAUAAUAAAUAAUAGUCAGAAAUACAUUCCAAGGAGAUAAGUUCCUGAGCCUGUCAACUCAAGUCUGGUUUUAAUUAUGUUCACUACAUACCUAUUUGCAGCCCGUUACACACCUUGUGUUUACUUCAGUAACUGAUCAAGUAACAGAAAAUCGUUGCAUCUUUAUCCUGAUUUAGAAUAUAGCUGUUACUCUAGUCAUGCUGAAUUUUGUAGAAGGAGGGAUUUUUAUUCAUUUUUUCCAUCUGGCAAGAUAAAAGCUAGCACUUCUUCAGAAGUAGUAUGUAUUUUCACUGCCUUUGCUUUCUAAGCCUAAGUAGAAAAUCACUUCAUAAAAGAUUGUCUUUAAAGAAAUAUUACAAAACUGUACGAAAUCUGUUUCUGUAGAAAUUUGGUUUCAAAUGAGUCUUUACUUUGUGUAUGGCCCACAGAAUCAGUAGAUCUGAAAUGCCUCCUUCACUUUCCUUUGCUGAUGGAGUUUCGAUUUUACAAGUUCAUUUCAGCUCUAGUCUGUAUAACUGAACUCAGAAUCAGGAAAGAAACUCAUGUCACUGUUAACACAAAAUGCCAUUAUUAUUUCCCUACAGCAAUAGGAUUAUGUCUUUAUUGCAUCUAUUCAUCCUCAUUAACCAAUCAUUAGUCCUAUCAUCUAUCAUCUGUCUUCUGAGAUAUCUGUUUGGAGACCUACAGCAUUCCUACAAGCCUGCCACCCCCACUCCACUUUAUUAUCCUAAUUUCCUUUAAACCAGCCAUGUUUCGCUUCUAAGGCCGAUACUUGUUAUUCUGUUCUGUGUAUCAUCAACACAUAGAAUCAAAAGCUUUUUCUUUCCCUUAACAAUAUCCUCUGCCUUUUUUCUUUAUCUCCUCACUGUGGAGCAUAACUGUGUUUAUACACAGGUAGGUGAGUACCCGCCUUCCAAGCCCUGAAGCUUCAAAGUUGAGCAAUUAGAAAUUUUCCCUUUUUUAAGUAAAUAUGACCAGCAUUUUUUGCUUCAUUCUGUGACACCCCACCCAAUUAAAUCAGUUUUUCCUGCUGCUAGGACCUUUGUUGGCAUUUUUUUAUGCCAGUGAAUGUUGUGUUUCUUCUUGGUAUUUACGAGAAACCACUGGGACAUCUCAGUGUAUCAUCUUUGGGGAAAGGACGUUCCCUCACACCUGACAUGGGGAAACCGUGCCUUGCAGGUGGAAGGGCAAUCCUCUUCAUGGAGCUUUCCAGAUGAGGAGAAUCAGCCCGCCUCUGGGAAUCUCAGCCAAAUACACAGCAUGUGACCAAUGAUUUCGUACAGCACUCCACCAGGAAACAAGGAACUUCCAUCGUCUACAUGCAGGAUGCACUCCUUUCGUCAAGCUUUUUGCUGCGUGCGCGUUCAGAUUUUGAAGCAGAUGAAAAUGUCCAAUCAAUUCCCUACUGCCAAGAAGAAAUCACAACUGAUAGAUACUGACGCAGUGUGGAGAAAUGCAGUCUGGGCAGGACAGAAGAGGCCUUGACAAGUGGAGGCUCAGGAGGCAGCGGAGGAGUACAGGCAUGGGCCCGGAGGGAUGGGGCACAUCCCUGGUGCUGGAGACCCCACAGCUACAACCGAGUCACCGUCAGUUAAAGACUUGCAGACCUCAUGCUGGACAAAAAGAGUUUUCAUGGGUAACAAAGAGAACUAAAACCAAGUACUUACCACAUGGAAAAUACCAUAUAUAUUGAAUUUAGAUGUAACACGGAACUGCAAACCCAUGAAGAAAGAGCAAGGUGUAAAAGUGUGUUAAACAUAUAAACAUAAAACAUAAACAUGUAAAAAUCACCCCAAAUGAAUUCUAGAGUGAGGGAGAAGAAAACAUCAACACCAUAUUCCUCCUGGCCCAGGACUCUGGAUGCAAUGAUGCCCUAACAGCUCCUGACACACACAGACAUCAGCAUGAAACCACUGACCUUCAGACCCAGGGGAGCAGUGGAAGUAUGAGCGUUACACAGCUAUGCCAUAUUCUAGCUGUAUGAUGCCAGUAACCAUGGGGAAUGAAGCAAGGUGCGAAGCAUGAAGCAGACCUCAUUCUGCUCCCGCAUUGCAGAGCAGCCAUGAGAGCCGCCAGGCACUCGGAGUUCUCACAUUUGGAAAACCCGCAGUAGAGGCUCCCAUGCCAACCCCCCCCAGGUCUCUGUGAGGAGAACAUGACUGCCAAGAAGCAAGGAGCUUUGACUAGGACAUUGUUAUUUUUUGGCAGCUGCUGAAAUGUUCUUUUCAAUUCUGGAUGUCUGGCCAGGAACUAAACCAGCUCUGACGGUGCGCUGAUUCUUUACAGAGCUUCACUUUCCACACAGCUGUCCGGAGAACAGCCCAGAUACCGGAUCCAUCACCUUGUGAUGAUUUCGUAUGUAGCAUUUUCUGGUUUUGCACUCUGUGACACAGAUUGUUGUUGUAAUUCCCUUCAACAUGUACUUUUUUUUUUCUUUGCACAUUGAGUAGAAUCCUAAAUCAUGCUGACAUGGGAGACAAAUGAGAAUAAUUCUAAUUAUCUCUGGGGUUUCAAAGUGGAAAAUUAAAUUGCAGUGGUAAAUAUUUGACUUCAGCACUUGCCUUUGGACCCUUUCACCCACUCUGUUUUAAAGAUUAACCUAUGCUUCAUAUUUUCACUUCUCUCAUUUGAUGAUGUACUCGAUAUCUUUAACUCAGAGAGAAUCUUUGGCAAACGUAAACGGAACUCUUUGCUGGCUUAAUUAGUUCAGCAUAUUAGCCUGUAAUUCCAUCAAUUAAUUCUAGUUCCAUCGUUAUUCUUGUUAAAAAUCUUUCUUCUUGGAUUUCACUGAAAAUGGAUUUGGAAACAAAUUACUAUCCCUUUUACAUUGUGUCUCAAUUGAAUAACAACUUAAAUUCCCUGCCUCUUUCAUUCAAGGAUCUGAAAAUUUCUUCCAAAUGUUGAUGCAGAAAACUUCAAAUCCCUCACUGAUGAGGGGAUUACUGUUAUCUUCAGAUAAAGAAACUGAGGCAUAGUCAGGCUAAAUACUAGGAUUAUUUUGUUAGAUUGAUGUCAUCCAAAAAAUGGACAAAUACUUAGUCCAAACCAAAAUAAGCGUGAGUUAGAGCUGUAAUGGAAUUUAAAAACUAGUCACAUACAAUUGAAUAAAUCUGUGUGAAAUUACUAAUUUCCACAUCAUAAAAUUAAUUUAACCAGAAAUAAUUUCAGGUUGCCAUAUACUUGUAGGCAUGAGACAAAUCUUGUGAAUGCCUUGCAUAUACAACUAUCAAGGCAGCAAUAUACCUUAAAACUAUAUUGAAACAGUAUUUGAAAAAUGAAGUAUUCUAAAACCCAUUCAGACCUGUCAAUGCUCAGCUCCCUGCUCAAGCUCAAUUUGAGCCCUAGCACAUUCUUGAUGAUGCAGUUAUUAAUUACAGGACAAGAAACUGUUUUUGUUCUCAGGACGCUUAUGUCAUUCAGUUCACAGAACAGUCACUACCAAAGGAAUUAAAAAACCCCCAAACCUCUUUUUACUAUUCUUUAGUUCCCUGUAGGAUCCUUCUUGUCUCUUAUCCAGGGGAUGCACUGAAGAUAAAAUGUCAUUCAUUUUGGCAUCCUUUCAGUUUGUCCCCACAGUGCUCUCCCGUGCUCUCUCUCUCUCUCUCCCCCAUUGCCCGUCCCACAACUUAUCAGAUAGGGAAACACUAUCCAUUCCUGUCACAGAUGUGGAAUGGCGAAAUAUUUCAGUUAAUAUGUGAAAAGAAUUGGUAAACAUAUCAGCGGUUCAAAGCUGUCAGGGUGGUAAGUAGCCCUUCAGCGGUGCUGUACGGGGCAGACCUUCGCCUAGCAGGAGGGCCCUCCCUUACACUUCAGACUGUGAAAUCAAAGAAGGUGCCUUUCCCCUCUUCCUUUUUAAUUUUGGAGACAGUGACACAGACAAGUAUUCUAUAGAAACUUAAUUGAGCAUGGUGCUGACACAAAUUUAUUCUAGUCUCACAUAUUGAAAGCUUUAGUUUGCAUUCAAUGGCAAGGAAAAGCCCACCCAAACUCCUAUAAUACAUAAAACAAGAAGCAAUUUACUUUGCAAUUAGCUUUAUGCUUUUUUUUUUUCUGUGCUAUUACAGGAGACGUUUAGGUAUGAGCUUUCUUCCUUACAAGCAGAUUUUAACUAAAGAGUUUAAUUAUAUGUUAAAAGAAAAAUGUUUUCUCCAGUGUUUUCUUCUGAAGCCUGCAUUGAAUACUUAAUCCUGUGUUUAUGAGAAUAAAAUCUGCUGCUAUGGAUACAGUGAGGUCAACAUUUCAACAUUAUUAUUUUACUGUGCUGUGUUAAAGGAGAUGGCAGGAUAAUAUUUUUGUUUCAAUAAAAAUACCUUAGAAAGUAUAAU
Long non-coding RNA from Grus americana (Whooping crane), 4806 nucleotides. RefSeq lists it as uncharacterized. The record is from RefSeq and is a predicted model, not a curated record. The transcript has 2 exons. NCBI's taxonomy places the organism in Eukaryota, Metazoa, Chordata, Aves, Gruiformes, Gruidae.